AGAGUUUGAUCCUGGCUCAGGACGAACGCUGGCGGCGCGCCUAACACAUGCAAGUCGAACGGAGCUUAUAUUUCAGAAGUUUUCGGAUGGACGAGAGAUAAGCUUAGUGGCGGACGGGUGAGUAACACGUGAGCAACCUGCCUUUCAGAGGGGGAUAACAGUUGGAAACGACUGCUAAUACCGCAUAACGCUGCGAUGGGGCAUCCCGAUGCAGCCAAAGGAGCAAUCCGCUGGAAGAUGGGCUCGCGGCCGAUUAGCUAGUUGGUGGGGCAACGGCCCACCAAGGCGACGAUCGGUAGCCGGACUGAGAGGUUGAUCGGCCACAUUGGGACUGAGACACGGCCCAGACUCCUACGGGAGGCAGCAGUGGGGAUAUUGCACAAUGGAGGAAACUCUGAUGCAGCGACGCCGCGUGAGGGAAGACGGUCUUCGGAUUGUAAACCUCUGUCUUUGGGGAAGAAAAUGACGGUACCCAAAGAGGAAGCUCCGGC
Molecule: ribosomal RNA, 491 nt
Filed under: uncultured bacterium
Lineage: Bacteria
Description: bacterial SSU rRNA
Rfam family: Bacterial small subunit ribosomal RNA
Source: RNAcentral